RNAcentral lists this ribosomal RNA (2923 nucleotides) under Klebsiella pneumoniae. RNAcentral's name for it is "23S ribosomal RNA". It matches the Rfam family "Bacterial large subunit ribosomal RNA". Lineage: Bacteria; Pseudomonadati; Pseudomonadota; Gammaproteobacteria; Enterobacterales; Enterobacteriaceae. The record is from RNAcentral.
GGGUUGUGAGGUUAAGCGACUAAGCGUACACGGUGGAUGCCCUGGCAGUCAGAGGCGAUGAAGGACGUGCUAAUCUGCGAAAAGCGUCGGUAAGGUGAUAUGAACCGUUAUAACCGGCGAUGUCCGAAUGGGGAAACCCAGUGUGAUUCGUCACACUAUCGUUAACUGAAUACAUAGGUUAACGAGGCGAACCGGGGGAACUGAAACAUCUAAGUACCCCGAGGAAAAGAAAUCAACCGAGAUUCCCCCAGUAGCGGCGAGCGAACGGGGAGCAGCCCAGAGUCUGAAUCAGCUUGUGUGUUAGUGGAACGGUCUGGAAAGUCCGACGGUACAGGGUGAUAGUCCCGUACACCAAAAUGCACAGGUUGUGAACUCGAAGAGUAGGGCGGGACACGUGGUAUCCUGUCUGAAUAUGGGGGGACCAUCCUCCAAGGCUAAAUACUCCUGACUGACCGAUAGUGAACCAGUACCGUGAGGGAAAGGCGAAAAGAACCCCGGCGAGGGGAGUGAAAAAGAACCUGAAACCGUGUACGUACAAGCAGUGGGAGCACCUUCGGGUGUGACUGCGUACCUUUUGUAUAAUGGGUCAGCGACUUAUAUUCUGUAGCAAGGUUAACCGUAUAGGGGAGCCGCAGGGAAACCGAGUCUUAACUGGGCGUUAAGUUGCAGGGUAUAGACCCGAAACCCGGUGAUCUAGCCAUGGGCAGGUUGAAGGUUGGGUAACACUAACUGGAGGACCGAACCGACUAAUGUUGAAAAAUUAGCGGAUGACUUGUGGCUGGGGGUGAAAGGCCAAUCAAACCGGGAGAUAGCUGGUUCUCCCCGAAAGCUAUUUAGGUAGCGCCUCGUGAAUUCAUCUUCGGGGGUAGAGCACUGUUUCGGCUAGGGGGUCAUCCCGACUUACCAACCCGAUGCAAACUACGAAUACCGAAGAAUGUUAUCACGGGAGACACACGGCGGGUGCUAACGUCCGUCGUGAAGAGGGAAACAACCCAGACCGCCAGCUAAGGUCCCAAAGUCAUGGUUAAGUGGGAAACGAUGUGGGAAGGCACAGACAGCCAGGAUGUUGGCUUAGAAGCAGCCAUCAUUUAAAGAAAGCGUAAUAGCUCACUGGUCGAGUCGGCCUGCGCGGAAGAUGUAACGGGGCUAAACCAUGCACCGAAGCUGCGGCAGCGACACUAUGUGUUGUUGGGUAGGGGAGCGUUCUGUAAGCCUGCGAAGGUGUGCUGUGAGGCAUGCUGGAGGUAUCAGAAGUGCGAAUGCUGACAUAAGUAACGAUAAAGCGGGUGAAAAGCCCGCUCGCCGGAAGACCAAGGGUUCCUGUCCAACGUUAAUCGGGGCAGGGUGAGUCGACCCCUAAGGCGAGGCCGAAAGGCGUAGUCGAUGGGAAACAGGUUAAUAUUCCUGUACUUGGUGUUACUGCGAAGGGGGGACGGAGAAGGCUAUGUUAGCCGGGCGACGGUUGUCCCGGUUUAAGCAUGUAGGCUGGUUAUCCAGGCAAAUCCGGAUAAUCAAGGCUGAGGUGUGAUGACGAGGCACUACGGUGCUGAAGUAACAAAUGCCCUGCUUCCAGGAAAAGCCUCUAAGCAUCAGGUAACAUCAAAUCGUACCCCAAACCGACACAGGUGGUCAGGUAGAGAAUACCAAGGCGCUUGAGAGAACUCGGGUGAAGGAACUAGGCAAAAUGGUGCCGUAACUUCGGGAGAAGGCACGCUGGUGUGUAGGUGAAGUCCCUGCGGAUGGAGCUGAGACCAGUCGAAGAUACCAGCUGGCUGCAACUGUUUAUUAAAAACACAGCACUGUGCAAACACGAAAGUGGACGUAUACGGUGUGACGCCUGCCCGGUGCCGGAAGGUUAAUUGAUGGGGUUAUCCGUAAGGAGAAGCUCUUGAUCGAAGCCCCGGUAAACGGCGGCCGUAACUAUAACGGUCCUAAGGUAGCGAAAUUCCUUGUCGGGUAAGUUCCGACCUGCACGAAUGGCGUAAUGAUGGCCAGGCUGUCUCCACCCGAGACUCAGUGAAAUUGAACUCGCUGUGAAGAUGCAGUGUACCCGCGGCAAGACGGAAAGACCCCGUGAACCUUUACUAUAGCUUGACACUGAACAUUGAGCCUUGAUGUGUAGGAUAGGUGGGAGGCUUUGAAGCGUGGACGCCAGUCUGCGUGGAGCCAACCUUGAAAUACCACCCUUUAAUGUUUGAUGUUCUAACGUUGGCCCCUGACCGGGGUUGCGGACAGUGUCUGGUGGGUAGUUUGACUGGGGCGGUCUCCUCCCAAAGCGUAACGGAGGAGCACGAAGGUUAGCUAAUCCUGGUCGGACAUCAGGAGGUUAGUGCAAUGGCAUAAGCUAGCUUGACUGCGAGCGUGACGGCGCGAGCAGGUGCGAAAGCAGGUCAUAGUGAUCCGGUGGUUCUGAAUGGAAGGGCCAUCGCUCAACGGAUAAAAGGUACUCCGGGGAUAACAGGCUGAUACCGCCCAAGAGUUCAUAUCGACGGCGGUGUUUGGCACCUCGAUGUCGGCUCAUCACAUCCUGGGGCUGAAGUAGGUCCCAAGGGUAUGGCUGUUCGCCAUUUAAAGUGGUACGCGAGCUGGGUUUAGAACGUCGUGAGACAGUUCGGUCCCUAUCUGCCGUGGGCGCUGGAGAAUUGAGGGGGGCUGCUCCUAGUACGAGAGGACCGGAGUGGACGCAUCACUGGUGUUCGGGUUGUCAUGCCAAUGGCACUGCCCGGUAGCUAAAUGCGGAAGAGAUAAGUGCUGAAAGCAUCUAAGCACGAAACUUGCCCCGAGAUGAGUUCUCCCUGAGACUUUAAGUCUCCUGAAGGAACGUUGAAGACGACGACGUUGAUAGGCCGGGUGUGUAAGCGCAGCGAUGCGUUGAGCUAACCGGUACUAAUGAACCGUGAGGCUUAACCUUACAACGCCGAAG